Molecule: ribosomal RNA, 435 nt
Filed under: uncultured bacterium
Lineage: Bacteria
Description: partial 16S ribosomal RNA
Rfam family: Bacterial small subunit ribosomal RNA
Source: RNAcentral
AGCGAACGCUGGCGGCAGGCUUAACACAUGCGAGUCGAGCGGGGGAAUGUGGCUUUCAGCCGCGGCCGGCGGCGUACCGGGGGGUAACGUGCACUCAGCUGCGGAUUAGCGCAGGGAAACAUCUGCUAAUACCUGCUACUACCUCAUAGGUCCAGGCGUGGGACCGGGGGAUCGGCCGGAGCCUGAGUAGCUAGUUGGUGCGGUAUCGGCUUACCAAGUCGGCGAGAUGUAGCUGGACUGAGAGGAUGAUCAGCCACACUGGGACUGGGACACGGCCCAGACUCCUACGGGAGGCAGCAGUGGGGAAUAUUGGACAAUGGGCGCAAGCCGGAUCAAGCCAUGCCGCGUGAGUGAUGAAGGCCUUAGGGUUGUAAAGCUCUUUUAUCCGGGACGAUAAUGACGGUACCGGAGGAAUAAGCCCCGGCUAACUUCGUG